RNAcentral lists this ribosomal RNA (449 nucleotides) under uncultured bacterium. Its description in RNAcentral is "bacterial SSU rRNA". It matches the Rfam family "Bacterial small subunit ribosomal RNA", at positions 354 to 796 of the family's 1533-position model. The record is from RNAcentral.
GUGGGGAAUUUUGGACAAUGGGCGCAAGCCUGAUCCAGCAAUGCCGCGUGCAGGAAGAAGGCCUUCGGGUUGUAAACUGCUUUUGUACGGAACGAAACGGCUCUGGUUAAUACCCGGGGCUAAUGACGGUACCGUAAGAAUAAGCACCGGCUAACUACGUGCCAGCAGCCGCGGUAAUACGUAGGGUGCAAGCGUUAAUCGGAAUUACUGGGCGUAAAGCGUGCGCAGGCGGUUAUAUAAGCAAGUUUUGAAAUCCCCGGGCUCAACCUGGGAACUGCAUUUGUGACUGUAUAGCUAGAGUACGGUAGAAGGGGAUGGAAUUCCGCGUGUAGCAGUGAAAUGCGUAGAUAUGCGGAGGAACACCGAUGGCGAAGGCAAUCCCCUGGACCUGUACUGACGCUCAUGCACGAAAGCGUGGGGAGCAAACAGGAUUAGAUCCCCUGUAGUCC